RNAcentral lists this ribosomal RNA (468 nucleotides) under uncultured bacterium. RNAcentral describes it as "partial 16S ribosomal RNA". It matches the Rfam family "Bacterial small subunit ribosomal RNA", at positions 28 to 507 of the family's 1533-position model. The record is from RNAcentral.
GACGAACGCUGGCGGCGCGCCUAGCACAUGCAAGUCGAACGGAGCUGAGAGAAGCUUGCUUUUCUUAGCUUAGUGGCGAACGGGUGAGUAACGCGUGAGUAACCUGCCCUGGAGUGGGGGACAACAGUUGGAAACGACUGCUAAUACCGCAUAAGCCCACGAUCCGGCAUCGGAUUGAGGGAAAAGGAUUUAUUCGCUUCAGGAUGGACUCGCGUCCAAUUAGCUAGUUGGUGAGGUAACGGCCCACCAAGGCGACGAUUGGUAGCCGGACUGAGAGGUUGAACGGCCACAUUGGGACUGAGACACGGCCCAGACUCCUACGGGAGGCAGCAGUGGGGGAUAUUGCACAAUGGGGGAAACCCUGAUGCAGCGACGCCGCGUGGAGGAAGAAGGUUUUCGGAUUGUAAACUCCUGUCGUUAGGGACGAUAAUGACGGUACCUAACAAGAAAGCACCGGCUAACUACGUG